GGGGGAUGAAGGACGCCACCGAGGAAGCAGACCCCACUAGACCCCAGCUGAGGGCACUGCCUGCAGAACCACGCCCUCCUGUCCCUGUGCUAAGAGGGUGACGCGAGUGCCCGAAGCCCUGGCCUGGUUACCAUUCGCGACUCCCUCGUCCUGGGUUCUCCCAUUGCCAGGAAUGUUUUACUAGUAACCAUGGUAUAGUUGAGACCAUCCACCCUUGUCCUACGCAUUUCGGCACAAUACAGGCGUCUAGGAGGCUUACCUGGCAUUGCCUGAGAGAAUCUUCCAUCCAUUUAAGUACCCAGUAACAGAGGGAGCAAAGCAAAUCUUAUCCUCAAAGAACUGCAGCUGCUUGUUAGAUCUACCUGGUGGUUCCAUAGAGAAACUGCUCAGAGAACCUGCCUUUACCUCGCCUAAAAUAGAACUAUCCCAGAGCUUAGUUCAUCAACUCAGGAUCCAGUAGUGUAAUACAGAAGCCUGUUACAAGAUAUAAGGCACUUCGCCCUCGGAAAUCUCACUGUCGGAAUCCUUGGAAAUCACACCAUGCACAACUUCUAUUUCUUCAUAAUUUGCAAAGAACCAGUGUGACUCCAGUCAAGAACAAAAGAUUAAUUGUGAAUUAGCGAAGAACUCUAAUUUUUUCAAGAAGCCACAUGGAAAACGCAUUCUAAUGAAGUCCUUUCCAUUGCUCUUUUUUCUUAGUUCUUCAAUAAAGCAUGCGAUUUGAUCACAAA
RNAcentral lists this long non-coding RNA (731 nucleotides) under Pan troglodytes (chimpanzee). RNAcentral's name for it is "lincRNA". Lineage: Eukaryota; Metazoa; Chordata; Mammalia; Primates; Hominidae. The record is from RNAcentral.